Unclassified non-coding RNA from Vigna unguiculata (cowpea), 1493 nucleotides. The record is from RefSeq and is a predicted model, not a curated record. Lineage: Eukaryota; Viridiplantae; Streptophyta; Magnoliopsida; Fabales; Fabaceae.
UCGAUUCUGGUGAUUUAGUUGAACAGGAACCGGAGGAGGGCGAGGAGGAGAAAUAGAUGGCAAUCGCUGCUGUGAGAGAAAAAAAGAAUUUGGAUUGUGGAACAAUUGGAGAUUGGAAUCGUUGAAUUGUGCUAUUGUUUGUCUUUGAUUCAGAAAUGAACAAAGACGAAAGCGAUCGGAACGAAAAGAAAGCGCACGAUAUCAAGCUUUGGGGAGUUUUCCUCUUCGGAUUACUCGGCGCCGCCGUCACUGCCUUCUCCCUGUCCAGGUCGCAGUCAAGAGGAGCGAGUGGCAGUUCUUUUCGAUCAUCAUUUCAAGAAGAAGCAUGGAAGAGGUACAAUAAACGACUGCAAGAGGAGUAUGAGGAGGAGGUGGAGAGGGUGGAACGUAUAAAGCGCAUGCAAAGUGUGUUUAAUCGGGAAAGGGAUAAGCGUAGAAGAAGCUACGAGAGCUGGAAGGGAAAUGGUAGUGGUGCACAUCAUCAACAUUUUCAAAGAGAUGAUUGGUAUUGGAAGGCCGAAGAAUCCUUCAGAGAGCAAUGGGCCAAUUAUCAACACACUCCAGGAGAGAGCAGAAACUAUUCACUAUCACAUCACUACUCAGUUUUGGGUCUUGACAGGUUUAGAACAACACCCUAUACAGAUGCUGAGAUUAAGACAGCAUUUAGAACCAAGGCAAUGCAGUAUCAUCCUGACCAGAACCAAGAUAAUAGAGAGGCUUCUGAGGCCAAGUUCAAAGAAGUAAUUUGCUCAUAUGAAGCCAUACAAAAGGAAAGGAAGAACCAAAAUCUGUAAUUGCCCAACUCUGUACAACAACCCAGAUGAGGUUAUAAUUGUGCACCACAGAAGUUUGAAUGAUGUAAUAGAAAUAAAGCAGGACCAAGUAAUUACAUGUCAGCAACAUGCAACGUGAUGAACAGAAACCGGAGAAGGAGGAGGAUGAAAAGAUGGCAAUAGCUGCUGAGAGAGAAGAACGGUGAUUGGUGAUUGGAAUUGUUGAAUAGAUAUUGUUGAGUUUGAUUCAGAGAUGAACAAAGACGAAAACGAAAGCAAUUGGAACCAAAAGAAAGCCGAAGAUAUCAAGCUAAUAGGAGUGUUCCUCUUCGGAUUACUCGGCGCCGCCGGAGCCACCGCCACUGCCUUCUCCGUUUGAUCGAGACUAAUGAUUCACAGUUAUUUUCGAUCAUUUGAAAAAGAAGCGCAGAGGAACUAUAAACGACUUCCAAAAGAGUACGAGGAGGAUGUGAAGAGGGUGAUGGGAGAUGUAGAAGAGUCGAAGAGGUACUUCAAACGAACGCGAAAGGAGUACAUGGGAGAUGUAGAAGAGUCAAACAGCUACUUUAACCGAAUGCGAAAGGAAUACAUGGAGGAUGUGAAGAGGGCAUUCAGAACCAAGAUGAUGCAGUAGCAUCCGAUCAGAACAGCAUAAUAGAGGUAUGCUUUUACUAGUCAUUAACAACAGGAUCUUGUUAAUUCCAACCAUGGCAUUAUUGA